CAGGAAACCGCAUCACUUCCCUUGUUUGUCCCCACCGCCCAGCAGCCUGGAGACAUUUAGGCCGUAAGUCAAGCGUUUUAUAUCCAGAAAGAGAGAAGGCGGCUUCCCUGGACUCAUCGCUCUGAUUUAUAAAGUCAGCGGAUUCUGCGAAGCUCGAGGCCCCAUGUACCUAGGGCAUGUGGCAUUGGGCACGAAGUGUGGCACAGCUCGACUCUGAGUCCUGAGGGAGUUGGGACAGGUG
This 241-nucleotide long non-coding RNA is filed under the name Rattus norvegicus (Norway rat). RNAcentral describes it as "long non-coding RNA NONRATT032942". Lineage: Eukaryota; Metazoa; Chordata; Mammalia; Rodentia; Muridae. The record is from RNAcentral.